Molecule: transfer RNA, 69 nt
Filed under: Castor canadensis (American beaver)
Lineage: Eukaryota; Metazoa; Chordata; Mammalia; Rodentia; Castoridae
Rfam family: tRNA
About the family: Transfer RNA (tRNA) molecules are approximately 80 nucleotides in length. Their secondary structure includes four short double-helical elements and three loops (D, anti-codon, and T loops).
Source: Rfam by way of RNAcentral
GAGGACUUAGCUUAGUAAAAGUGCUUGAUUUGCGUUCAUGAGAUGUAGGGUGUCGUCCUGCAGUCCUUA